GAAGAAACAACAGGAACACAUAUAGCUGGAAUGCAGAUGGGAUCUGUGCUACUUACGCUAGCCAUGGGAUGAUUAGAACAAGAUAAGAGACAUGAGGAAGACUUCUUCAAGGAGGUGCUCAAGCCAUGUUUUGGAAAAGAGAACUCAAGGUCUGGCAGGGAGAAAGGAGCAAGGUCCUCUUCUCCCUGAAGCCUGUCACAGUUCCUGUGCAGAGAGAGAGGGCACUGCAGCACCCAGGCGCUGACUGCCUUUUGUCAGUCUCAUUUGCAGGCCCCCAGCUGGAGAACCCAGGAGGAAGAGGAAAAAAGUUUUUUCCUCCUCUACACUCCCCAUGCAUGACUAAAGAGUAGGAGGAGUCAGCAAGGCAGACAUAUAUAGUACCCAGGAGGUGGACAAACAACUGCCUUGGUGGAAACUCUGUCCUUUCUGGACUUAUCCUGGUGCCACUGAGACUGUGCAGGUCCCACACUUACGGGGAAAGCAUCACCCGAAAGUGAGAACGCCUAGAGGCAGGAAUCAUGGAGGUUUCCUUAACUGUCUGUCUGCAACAGCAGGUGCUAGAGAUGACACUGCAGAGUAGAGAACAAAGGAAUCUUAGUAAUUGUUCAAUCCAAUCUCCACACUUUAAAGAUGAAGAAACUGGUAUUGAGAAAAAUACACAGCUUAUCCAAGGUUGCACUGCCGGUUGGUAGCUGAGAUGAAUUUAGAACCCACAUCUGAUGACUACACCAUAUUGCUCCCAGUUUCCCUGUCUGUUCCACAUGUAAAAGUCUGACUCUUCACUUCUCCUUUGAGUAUAUAGACU
This 805-nucleotide long non-coding RNA is filed under the name Pan troglodytes (chimpanzee). RNAcentral describes it as "lincRNA". The record is from RNAcentral. Lineage: Eukaryota; Metazoa; Chordata; Mammalia; Primates; Hominidae.